UAGGGAAUCUUCCGCAAUGGACGAAAGUCUGACGGAGCAACGCCGCGUGAGUGAAGAAGGUUUUCGGAUCGUAAAACUCUGUUGUUAGGGAAGAACAAGUCAGGUAGUAACUGACCUGACCUUGACGGUACCUAACCAGAAAGCCACGGCUAACUACGUGCCAGCAGCCGCGGUAAUACGUAGGUGGCAAGCGUUGUCCGGAUUUAUUGGGCGUAAAGCGCUCGCAGGCGGUCUUUUAAGUCUGAUGUGAAAGCCCACGGCUUAACCGUGGAGGGUCAUUGGAAACUGGAGGACUUGAGUGCAGAAGAGGAGAGUGGAAUUCCAUGUGUAGCGGUGAAAUGCGUAGAGAUAUGGAGGAACACCAGUGGCGAAGGCGACUCUCUGGUCUGUAACUGACGCUGAGGAGCGAAAGCGUGGGUAGCGAACAGGAUUAGAUACCCUGGUAGUCCACGCCGUAAACGAUGAGUGCUAGGUGUUAGGGGGUUUCCGCCCCUUAGUGCUGAAGUUAACGCAUUAAGCACUCCGCCUGGGGAGUACGGCCGCAAGGCUG
RNAcentral lists this ribosomal RNA (550 nucleotides) under soil bacterium LP-P1-10. RNAcentral describes it as "bacterial SSU rRNA". It matches the Rfam family "Bacterial small subunit ribosomal RNA", at positions 355 to 896 of the family's 1533-position model. RNAcentral also lists the same sequence under 1 other name. The record is from RNAcentral.